RNAcentral lists this ribosomal RNA (1442 nucleotides) under uncultured organism. RNAcentral's name for it is "SSU rRNA". It matches the Rfam family "Bacterial small subunit ribosomal RNA". The record is from RNAcentral.
CUCAGGAUGAACGCUAGCUACAGGCUUAACACAUGCAAGUCGAGGGGCAUCAGGAAGAAAGCUUGCUUUCUUUGCUGGCGACCGGCGCACGGGUGAGUAACACGUAUCCAACCUGCCCUUUACUCGGGGAUAGCCUUUCGAAAGAAAGAUUAAUACCCGAUGGCAUAAUGAUUCCGCAUGGUUUCAUUAUUAAAGGAUUCCGGUAAAGGAUGGGGAUGCGUUCCAUUAGGUUGUUGGUGAGGUAACGGCCCACCAAGCCUUCGAUGGAUAGGGGUUCUGAGAGGAAGGUCCCCCACAUUGGAACUGAGACACGGUCCAAACUCCUACGGGAGGCAGCAGUGAGGAAUAUUGGUCAAUGGGCGGUAGCCUGAACCAGCCAAGUAGCGUGAAGGAUGAAGGCUCUAUGGGUCGUAAACUUCUUUUAUAUAAGAAUAAAGUGCAGUAUGUAUACUGUUUUGUAUGUAUUAUAUGAAUAAGGAUCGGCUAACUCCGUGCCAGCAGCCGCGGUAAUACGGAGGAUCCGAGCGUUAUCCGGAUUUAUUGGGUUUAAAGGGAGCGUAGGUGGACUGGUAAGUCAGUUGUGAAAGUUUGCGGCUCAACCGUAAAAUUGCAGUUGAUACUGUCAGUCUUGAGUACAGUAGAGGUGGGCGGAAUUCGUGGUGUAGCGGUGAAAUGCUUAGAUAUCACGAAGAACUCCGAUUGCGAAGGCAGCUCACUGGACUGCAACUGACACUGAUGCUCGAAAGUGUGGGUAUCAAACAGGAUUAGAUACCCUGGUAGUCCACACAGUAAACGAUGAAUACUCGCUGUUUGCGAUAUACAGUAAGCGGCCAAGCGAAAGCAUUAAGUAUUCCACCUGGGGAGUACGCCGGCAACGGUGAAACUCAAAGGAAUUGACGGGGGCCCGCACAAGCGGAGGAACAUGUGGUUUAAUUCGAUGAUACGCGAGGAACCUUACCCGGGCUUAAAUUGCAGUGGAAUGAUGUGGAAACAUGUCAGUGAGCAAUCACCGCUGUGAAGGUGCUGCAUGGUUGUCGUCAGCUCGUGCCGUGAGGUGUCGGCUUAAGUGCCAUAACGAGCGCAACCCUUAUCUUCAGUUACUAACAGGUCAUGCUGAGGACUCUGGAGAGACUGCCGUCGUAAGAUGUGAGGAAGGUGGGGAUGACGUCAAAUCAGCACGGCCCUUACGUCCGGGGCUACACACGUGUUACAAUGGGGGGUACAGAAGGCAGCUAGCGGGUGACCGUAUGCUAAUCCCAAAAGCCUCUCUCAGUUCGGAUCGAAGUCUGCAACCCGACUUCGUGAAGCUGGAUUCGCUAGUAAUCGCGCAUCAGCCACGGCGCGGUGAAUACGUUCCCGGGCCUUGUACACACCGCCCGUCAAGCCAUGGGAGCCGGGGGUACCUGAAGUACGUAACCGCAAGGAUCGUCCUAGGGUAAAAC